Molecule: long non-coding RNA, 3292 nt
Filed under: Homo sapiens (human)
Lineage: Eukaryota; Metazoa; Chordata; Mammalia; Primates; Hominidae
Description: HSALNT0338691
Source: RNAcentral
UUAACUUAUGGCAAUAUACUUGUUUUGCAUCAGUGCAAUAACAAUCCAUUUUCUUUUGUAACAGGAUGCAAUUGUAGAAACUGGUUGGUUGUUUUACCAAGGCUUUGACUGGAAAGUUGUGCUUCCCUUUAAAGAAUCAAGCUUGAUAUGCAGACCCAAUAAAAGCCCCUUGAGAAAACUGGCCUUCAUACCUUGUCAACACAGUCCUGUAUAGGGUUCUUAACCUGUGAGUAUCCUCAUUCUUCUUGGGCAUGGUACAAGAACUCAGGAACCACCAAACAUGAUACAAGCUAUAACACAGGCCAGUUGGGGCAUGCCAGCAUGGCCGAGUGGGACCCAGGUGGAGCACUGCCAGCUGGGGCUCCCUGCUCUGCAACGUGACUGAGAAUAAAAAUCCUACAUUGGUUUUACGUAACAGAAGGUGAACAUCUGAUAAGAAAGGGUGACAAAAGGAAAAGUCAACCAUGCAGAUGUCUCUGGGUAUGUGGGGGAGUGACUGGUCUCACCUUGACUUUAUUCUGCACCUGGGCAGGUGGGUUUGUAAUUGACACGACCAGUGUGCAACUGAACAGACUUUAGUUUUAGGAGCUGGACUUAGACUGCAGUCCUAAAGUUUCAAUUGGCCUGUCCUCAUUCAUGAGAGGCCAGCAGAGAAUUCACGCAGGGAUCAUCUGUGUGGGCAGCUUUUCCAGAUGCCUGAGGCCUUUCCCAUUCUCUUUGGGUCUGGCUGAUACAUGAUGUUAGUGACAGUCAAUUCAUUUGGAAGAGGGAGUGCAAUGACUUUCCCUUUUGCAUAAGAAGUUUUGGGGGUACUGAGAUUUUUAGUUUCCUUUACAAGACCUUCCCGCAAAUAAGUACAAGAGGACCCAGAGUGUGGGGUGUCUGGCUGUCUGAGCAGUUGGGCCACUGACGCUGAGGACAAUGUGAGAAAGCCUGUCCUGGUGGAAGGGAGAGCAAAGGUGGAGAGAAAGGAAGCUCCAUGUUAGUUUUUGAAACACACCACAGCUGAAGGUCAGUCCCCAAAGCUGGUUAUGGUUGAAAGGGAGGAAAAGCUGCUCCCACGUGGCUCUGGCUGAGGCUUCCGAGACUCUGCAGGUGGGGGCCGUCUGUCUUCCCCAGGUGGGAGCUACUUCUUUUUAGAAGCAGGCUCCACGGCGGUUUUCAGGUGUGGCCUUGCCCAGCGUCCCGAUGUUUUGCUUCCUGCCUGGCCUCGGCGCUCUUUGAUGACCUCCUCUUGCCACACACUGUGGUCUCCAUAGGCUGCCCACUGCUGAUCCGAGGCUGGUGGCCCCCAGCACACGUGGGUUUCUGAGGAACACGCUGAGACUCUCGGGCCAUGCCGUGACACAGGGGAGACAGCGUCUGCUCUUUUUCCAUUUUUGUUCGUUUUCAGUGCUCUGACCCUCAGGAAGCCCACUUAAGCAUCCCAGAAUCCAGACGGCCGUGAACAAAGCUGCUGUGGUUUGGGGCUGCAAAACUGGCCCACAGCCCACCUGGAUAACUGAAUCGAACAUGCCUCAGCCGCCCUCACCACAGGCACCAUCCCCCUCACAGAAGUUUGAUGUCUGAUCAUUCAGCACUGGCUGAGCCUCAGAGCUAAAAUGGAAAAUGCAUUUUAUGAGCAGAUAACACAUUUUUGGAAUGGCUACUUUAAACAUUGUGGAUACAGAUUCACAGAGACUAUUUUUAGAUGAAUUAUUUCUUCUAUUUACCAUACUGAUUUGCUGGAAGAAAGAAAAACAAUAUUUUAAAAAGGGAAAACAUUCUUUAAAAGCAGUGACUCUAAAUUUCCCCUGAAGAGCAAAAUGCUGUCUGUGUCUCACUCAAUGUGGUGGCUGCUACAGGAGGAUCUUCCCAGGCCUUCUCAGGGAAUUCCCAUCAGGAUCACAGGAAUGGUACCUGGCAGACACAACCCAGUCUGCACCUUCCAUGGGCCACAGCUGAUGGUACGAGGAGAGGUGUGACAUCUGCCUGACCUCAGCUCUGGGGGUUCCUGUGGGUGGACAGAAGGAGCCCUGGAGGCCCGGCCAGGAUGCGUCAUCUGUGGCUACCACGUGGAUUCUCUGGUGUGCUGAGUCAAGGCAGCGAUCUUCCAAGUGUGGUCGCUGUACCUCCAUCAGCACCUCCUGGGACUUGUCAGGACGCUGACCCGGGCCCCAGCCAAGUUCUGCUGCUGCCUCAGGGGGACAGAGGCAGGGCCUCACUGUCUGAUGAUCCAGCCCUGCAGGGGGCCCGCUGCACCUGCAGGUGUGAGAGCCGCCGCUGAAUUAAGGCUCAGUUCAAAAGCCACCAUUUCCACCAAGACGUGGUGACCUCAACUGGAUUGGAGACAACGCCUCUCCCCAGCUCCUCUGGAAUAUGGUUCUGUCCUCUGAGCCUGGUAUCGGCGUCGAUGCUGUCUACAUGCGCUGCUGGCUGGUCGCCUACUGGAUGUGUCUGCCCGCUGGGGGAAGGAACCAGGCCCUGGAAUGGGAUCCUGAGUAGGAGCACAGUCUGGAUAUUCCUGCAGGAGUGAAGAGACAUUCUCAGGGCGGAUGUUGCCAGGACAAAGAAACACAAGCAACAACAAGAACAAAACUGGAGUUGUCUCUCUCACAACUCAAGUGGAGCCUGAGGAAUAACAAGAGCUCAUUAAAUAUCUGUUGCAUGAAUGAGUGAAUAAAUGAAGGGAGGACUUUUAUGAAAACACUUCUUUACAUCUGGAAAUGUUACCCCCACGUUUUCUGGCAUCUGAUGUUGCUGCAAAUGUGAAGCCAAGGAGACCCUCCAGGAUGCCCAAGCCUGGGAGAAAUCCUGAUGACUGGGGGUUGGAAAAGAAGCAUGACACAUAAGAAAUGUUAGUUCUCUAUUCUUAUCAUUGAUUAUCAGAGUAGAUUAACCAUAAAACUAACAAUGCUGAAACUUGAGGACCUUCCCCAGAACUGCUGGGCCUCCAGCAGCAUGAUGCAUAGGUUUUUGUGAAAUUUUCAAAAGAUUUUUAACUGCAAUCAGCAAAAACGAUUGUCUCUCUCAGUCCAACUUCCCAGCAGUCAAAUUUCCCACAGUGGCAAAUGAUGUCAGAAUUGCUACAGCAUCUUUUGAGUCUGUCUAAGGGGAAGUAGAGCCAUGGGUGCAUUUGGUUCAGAGUUAGUGGAGUACGUGUAUAUGGUCAUAGUCACUUCUGUGUUCUGAUAGUGAAAUGGUUUUGAAAACUACUCCAAUAACCCACUCUGCUGACUUACCCAGCAUCUUGGUGUUGCAGGAAAUCAGGGACCCCGAAUGGAGGGACUGGCUGGAGCCGCGGCAGAGGAAC